CAGGCAGCUCCUAUUUAAGUGAUUUCUAGAUUGAGAACGGCUGUGGCUGGAGAAAUGGAACUGGGCUUUCCAAAGAUGUGAUGAACCUCACUUCAUUUAUGUUUUCAUCACUUUUUCACACAGGGCCAUUUAGGUUUGGAUUCUUUUCUCCCCUUAAUGAUAAAAACUGCAUUUUGUGUUUACUUGCGUUAUCUGUGUCUAAUAUUUACAUUAGUUUGAUGAUCUGAAACAUUUAAGUGUGACAUGCAGGCAUGAAAACGGGUCACGGGUAAAAAAGGUGAGACGGAUGUUUCCCCUCUAGGGGUUUUCAGCUGGUUUUGUCCCAGGGACCAACAUUCUAAAUAGAAAGUCACUGGCCUGUAACCGCCCCCCCACAUAUUACGCCUGUAGCACUUGUCAGUGGAAUCUCUUCCAUAUUCUUCUGGAUAUUCAGUGACUGAAUCUCUUCAGCUGGACGCAUCGGUCUUAAUGUGCCGGUAAUGAUGGUAAAUGAUGCUUGUAGCUGGUUGUCAUCGACGCUCCACUACGGUUACAUAAAGGUGGCGUUUGUGUUUUCACAACGUUUUAUCUCAUAAUUUAGACUUUCUAUCCCCUUUCUUCAGUGUGGAAAUGGGCUUCUAUAGUUGUGUGAAUGCAUCACUCCAGCCAAUCCAAAGACGGGGUUUGUAACCAAUCAGGUGUAGAGACCAUGGUGACUGGCUCCGCCCCCUUACUGUCAGAAAGAACAACAGCGAGCGCGUAGAAAACUCCUUCGAGCGCGAGCAGAGAUUCUCCUCGCGAGCAACGAAGGUCACGUUCAAAAGUCCGUCUCACGAGAGAUAUUUAUUUAUUUAUUUGUUUAUUUGCUCGCGGAUGUUUGAUUUACGCAUCAACCUGAUUUGCGCUCUGGAAUUUUGGCAGUGAUUUGCUGCCAUACCCCCCCCAAAAAAAAGGUGAGGGAUUUUCAUGCCUGAACAUGAAAGAAAUGAGGAAUCAGGAAGGCAGCAAACACUUUAUCACACAACUGUAACACAUAAAAGCAGAAGCCAUUUUCCAGUGAGGCUGAAUGAGGCGAGUCGGAGGACGUCCACGUUGUCCCAUUGAUCAGGUGGACUGCAGUGUCUCCCCGUUGUACUACUUCAUGGGGGGGCACCCCUGUUAUAAUGAUGGAAACACUGAACUGGCUUCGGUCGCUUAUCAAAACAUCGGCCAAAUAAGCCGUUUUUCAGACUUUAUGAGCAAAUACAGAAUCCCUUUGUGUUCAUUUCUAAAGCUGCAUAAAGACACACGUGACUUUAUUUAAGGCGCUGCGCUACUUGCAAGUCGCUGUGUUGUGG
Gasterosteus aculeatus aculeatus (three-spined stickleback) is the source of this 1316-nucleotide long non-coding RNA. NCBI's taxonomy places the organism in Eukaryota, Metazoa, Chordata, Actinopteri, Perciformes, Gasterosteidae. The record is from Ensembl.